This 4603-nucleotide long non-coding RNA is filed under the name Homo sapiens (human). Its description in RNAcentral is "HSALNT0135497". Lineage: Eukaryota; Metazoa; Chordata; Mammalia; Primates; Hominidae. The record is from RNAcentral.
CUCCCAGGAGACUUUGCUGUAUAAUUGUGAGCUAAGCUUGAGUCAGAAUGAAUAAAUCUCUAAGUACGGGGUUUAGUCACAUCUGUGGGCCGAAAUGUAUUGGCUGAGGAAGAAAGAAGUAAAACAGCACCUUCAGAAUCCCAGACACCAUUCUAAGCCCAAGAUUAAGAUUUGGGGUGCAGCCAACCCUAUCUCUAACUAGAAAUGGGUCCCUCAGCAAGUCCCCUCCCUUCUUCAGUCCAGGUGCCCAUGAGAAAGCUGUGACGGGUGAACCCAAGUGCCUCGGGGCCCUGCCGUACUGUGAUUCCGGAGGUCGGGCAUGUGCACACAAGAGUAGACUGCAGCAUCUGGGCUGAGGGGGCAGCACUCCUGGGGACCUGAUUUCCAGGGGGCGGCCAGGCCAGCAGGAGCACCACCCGUGACAGCUGGCAGCCAAGGCACCCACGCUCUUCAACCCGGAGGCUCUCCCUGACCAGGAAGGGCCUGGGAGAAGUAAGCCUCUUUCUUGGUCUGCUACAGACAUUUAUGCUAAUGGUGCUUCUCUUCCGGGCCUAGCUUUCACCUCCUCUGACAGGUAAUGAACUCCCCAAGUCCAAUUACAGGCCACCUCUUCCAUCCUUCUUUUCUCAAGGAAAAAAAAAAUUGAAAAUAAAAAGUCCAAACACAGAAGGCCCACAGCCAGGCCCUGCAUGUCAGGCCAGUGACAGGCAGGCUGGGCACAGCCUCCCUCUGAUUAAGAGGAUGAGCACCAAGCAGGCCUAGGAGCCCCAGCAAGUCCUCACUACAACUUCUCUCCACACCUCUCAAUGAACAGGCAGCUUGUCAGGAACAAGGAGACGCCGGGCAGGCAGUGGGGCAAGAUUGCAGGCAGGUACCCAGGCUGUCACCACCGCCAGACAGGGCCCGUGUCACCCCACCCUGCCUGCCAGCGCCUGCCCCUGCCGUCUACAUCUUCCCCAGCCUUUCACACACCCCACAUGGUGACAAGUGAGCACUUCCAUCAGCCAAAGAGAGUGCAAGGACUGGGUGGCUUGUGCAACUUCCCUUCAUCCUGCCCUGGAGUGGUCUGGUGCUAGAGGUGACCUGGAGUCCACCUUCCUCAUCCCGUCUUCCCAAAAUCAGUGAUGCCCUCAAGAGAUUUGUGGCAGGCGGACCCGGAGAGUCGCAGGGGCCUCCUAAAUGGCCUGUGAGACAAACUGAGCUUUGGCUGGUACUUUGGGAAUCAUAGAAAAUGAGCAACAGAGGCCUGCUCAGGUGCAGAAAUUGACCAGGCUCUUUGAGUCAAAUCACCCUGGCGCUCCUUGGACCAAUUAACCACACACCUGCUCCUCCCUGCAGAGAUUCUAGGCACCAGCAGAGAUUCUAGGAGGGCCUCACGAUUCCACUCCCGCCCCAGCAUAAUCCCAUGCAUUGAGAUGUCUCACUCCAGGCCCCACAGGGCCUCCUUCUAGCAAGCUGGUCCCUGGUCAAUACCCUUGCUUGCCUCCCACCCUGAACAUCUAACUGCACCUGCUACGUUCCAGACACCAGACUCAGCACUGACAGCAAUACAAAGAAGUAGAAAACAAAGUUACUGCCCUAAAGAGAAUUGAAGUCUAGGAAAUUAAGAGUUCUUUUUCUGCCACUACAAACUCAGGCCAGUGAUGACCUGUGCCUCAGUUGUCCCUCUGAGUCCUUUGGCAAACUGUGCUGUCCUCUCUCAUAAAGACCAGGUAGCGGGAGCUAGCCACUCUUUCAGGGAAUGAUGAUAGUGGAUAUUAAGUACCUACUCAGUGCCACGCACUGGGCAAGAAGUUUGACAAACAUUCCUUAGGUCCCCAAGUGUACUCUUCAAGAGAGGUACUGUCAUCUCCACUAAGAAGUCCUGCCUCUGGGAAGUCAAGCAAACUCUCCACAGUCCCCCAGCGAGUGAGGGCAGAGAGGGGAUUUAAAUCACACACCCCAGAACGUGGUGGAAUCACCCCUGAAUAGAGUGGGUAGUUGAAUCACACUAAUAAUUGGAUAAACUGUCAAGACCAACUUCCACGGCAUUUACUGAACACAUGCAAAAAAAACGCAAUGUUUAGAUUGAUGGCAUAAAUGAGGACAACCUGGAAAGCAAAUAUAGCAAUAUCCAUCAAACUUCUAAAGGCACAAAUCCUACAUACCAGAAAUUUCAUUUAUGUGAAUUUAUCCCACUGUACAAAGAUGCUCAUUGAAGCACCGUUUGUAAUAGAAAAAAAAGCUGGAAUCAACCUAAGUGUCUAUCAAUAGGUAAUAGGUUAAACUGGUUCAUCCAUAAAAUGAAAGAUUAAUACUGUGCAUUCAUUAAAAAGAAUGAGAUAUGCCUGCUGAUACUAUCAUGAAUGCAUGUUUAAAAAUGUUCUUUAAUGAAAAAGCAAGUUUCAAUAUUAUAUGUACAGUAUGAUCCUGCUUACAGUUAAAAGCAUUUUAGGCCGGGCAGGUUGGCUCACUCCUGUAAUCCUAGCACUUUGGGAGGGUGAGGUGAGCAGAUCACCUGAGGUCAGGAGUUCGAGACCAGCCUGGCCAAUGUGGUGAAAUCACGUCUCUACUAAAAAUGCAAAAAUUAGCUGGGCGUAGUGGCGGACGCUUGUAAUCCCAACUACUCAGGAGGCUGAGGUAGAAGAAUUGCUUGAACCCAGGAGACAGAGGUUGCAGUGAGCCGAGACUGCACCACUGCACUCCAGCCUGGGCAACAGAGCGAGACUCCAUCUCAGAAAAAAAAAAAAAAAGCACUUUAUAUAUAACAUACAUACAUACAUAUACAAUAUAUCACACUUAAAAUGCCUAAAACAAGGUGACCCUUUCAACAAGCCCAGGAGGUGUCAAAUGAGGAGACAAGAGCCUCCAGGAGACUAAGCCAUUUCCCCAAAGUCAUUCAACUGGUUCAGGGGACUCGAAGAGAAGUUUUCUGAUGCUGAGCCCAGUGUUCCCCCCAUCAUGUGGACAGGGCUGGAGGGGCAGGCAAGGUUGAGUGAGAGUGCACGGGUCUUUCAGACUCACCACCAGCCCAGGUAGUAUCUCCCAGGAGAAGGCAAGAGGGUGUAAGCCCCAGAAGUAUCUGAGGCUGGAGGGCAAGGCUGAGUCACAGAAGCAUGACAAGAUGAGGAACAACAAAGGGGCUUCCAACAGCUUACUCAGGGGACAAUCCAACGCCAGCCCCACCAACAGGCCUUGGACGCCAGCAAGGCUGAGGGCACUGAAAAUUCCUACAGCCUUCUGAACUCUCAAGCAAUGACUCCAUCAAUCUAUGAAUACUUGUUGAGCACCUAUUCUGGAAAAGGCACAGGAUGGAGCCUCAGAGGAGCCAGAAAAAUGAGCCUGCUGAGCUCUCACUGUCUUCCGUGUGCUGCUGUGUCUCCUCCUAGGACUGUGUUUUCUCUGUGAGGAAUGUGUAAUCCCUCUUGUUGGGGAGAGAACAUGCAAGUGCAUAAAAAUGUAAUUAAACCCGCAGUAGGAGGGGCUAAGAUCCCAGCGGAGUGCCAGGAAUAUGAGUUUUAGGUGCCCAGAGAGAGGAGGAAGGAGAGAAUUCCAAAUGGCUGGCAGAGCCAGGGAAGGGCAUAGCCCUUCGUUCCAUGGGGUUUUGAGCACAAAAGCAAAAAAAAUUCUCCCUGUCUGCCAGCUAUGACAGAGUGGAGUUAAAGCAGGAUUUCACACUGGGGGUUGUGCCUCAAUUAGGGGCGUCAUUAUCUGAAUAUUUAAUUACAUAACAGAAAACAUCAGAUUGCACCACAUGUAGCAAAGGUAAGUCAACACAAAAACACAAGAAAAAUGCGUGCAUCCACAGAUAUACGUGUGUGUGUGUGUGUAUGCUGGGCCACAGCGGAAAAUAUGUUUCUUGCUGUGGAUUAUGGUCCAAGUUUGAAAUACACUGAAAUAGAAUGGAGAGGGAAAUGGCCCUGGAGAAAGGUACUUCAUUUAAGAAGGAAAGGAGUUAGCAAAGGUGAGGACUAAAGAAGAGAGAGAGCAUGGCAACGAUUCCUGGUCUCUAGCUCCCCUCCUGCUGGCGUCCUGCCCACAUCCCUGGCCAGAGUAUGUUCCCUCCAUGCUGGCCUCCCCUAUCCUCUCUGCACCCCCAGUCUGAAUCCUUCCCUUCCUGCAAACUGGCAGUGAUUAUCCCAUGGCCUUGGCUCCUCAGACCUCCCACAUCUCCUAGCACCCCACACCAGGCAUCUCAUUCUUUAAGUGUUUCAUGUGCAAGGCCAGAGAACCCUGGGCCUGGAGUAGCUGUGUGACUUUGGGAAAAUCACUGAGCCUCUCUGAGCCUCUUAAUCUGGCAGCUAUGAAUGAUAACUGAAUGCAUCUUGUCUCUUUUAUAAUACCAUAAACAUCUCUCGAGGGAGAACCGUAUCUUCCACUAAUUUGGUAAACCACUGCCCAUUGGUGUUGUGAGUAGUGCUAGACAUAUGUAGAUACUUGAUAUUGUUACUUAACUUGGAAACUGUGCUGAGUAAAAGGAAAAAGAAAUUAAUUAACAAACACCAACACCAUCACCUUCUAUACUGGCAUGAUAGCAACAGCUGACACACACACAGAACAGAAGAGGCAGUUUAUAAGCAUGCAAGUUAUAUAGUUACACUGUACUCCCAACACACACUCAGAA